Molecule: long non-coding RNA, 3042 nt
Organism: Lotus japonicus
Lineage: Eukaryota; Viridiplantae; Streptophyta; Magnoliopsida; Fabales; Fabaceae
Exons: 8
Source: RefSeq, a predicted model, not a curated record
GGGCUGCAUUGGAGUAUCUCAUCUGAAACUUCAUGUAGGGUUAGGAAUUAGGUUACUCAAAACCUACUUGCCUAUUGACCAAAAAAAAAACCUACCUGCUUCUUCCCGUGGUUUCCGGCCGCUGCCGUCGCCACUGAACCUAUUGCUCCUUUUUCCGUCAGUCACAGAGGUAGGAGCUAACCCCUCUCACCGGCCAGCUGUUCCAGCGUUUAUGCAUCGAUGCCUGAUCCCUAAGGACCUACUGUUUCACCAAACCAUGGCUUUCUCCCUUGUACGAACGCUCGACCCUAUCCUGCCUCUACCGUGUAGGCUCUGCAACAUCCCUCUACUCCUUCCCUGAGCGGUCAUGCCUUCUUUCCUAUAGCUGUGUAGGUCAUGCUUCGUAGGUACCUUGAAGCUCCCAAAACCAAUUGGUUUUCCUGCUUUACAGGGUAAAAUAUAAGGCAGAGUAAUAUUGGCUGAAAUGGCUGGACUCACUAACUCGAUUAGGAGCUUUUGUUCUGUGUGAGACACAUGAAAGGCAGCUCCAUCAUUUCCGAGUUCAUUUCCUCACCUAUUUUCUGGCAAAGAAAAACUCCAUUGUUUGAUUCCUUGUGCAAUUGAUCAGCAAGUUGACUCAUCUAUUUUUAGGAACUUCUCCGCUAAUUUUUUGCGAGCAAGUUCUUAUUACUACUAUAUAAGAGUGAUUUCAAGCAAAGAGUUGUUUUUGGCUUCAACGAAGGAUGAAAGUUGUUGAGAUGGGCAAAUUUUCUCAAGGCCUGGUGCUGAAGAGAAUAGAAGCUUUUCCCUUCACUACAUGGUUUGGUCACAGUUAGACAAAGGUCACAAGGUUCAUUGGUCUAAGUCAUGUUAUGAUCAUGGAGGUUCAUGUGUUUUAUGUUCAGGAUAAAGACUCUAAAGAAUAAUGGAAUUCGCAAACAGGUUGCGACUAUGUGCAAGGAGAGGCUGCAUGAGAUUGCGAAGGAGGUUAACUUUGUGCCAGAGAAUGUGGAGUGGAAGAACACGUUGAAGCAAAGGUUCAUUUGCAGGGACGAUGAGGUUCAGGGAUGGAAGAGUUAUAUCAACGAAACCACCUGCAGAUGCGAGCUCUGGACCCCUCAGCGCAACUGUUGUAUUAUCAUUCCUAUUGUCCUUUUGAGAAUAUAUGAGAUGGAUGAGAUUCUCAAAUUGAGCAAGUUAGGGUUUAUCCCCUAUUUCCUUUGUUGAAUUCCAAAAAAUACGUUCCUUAGUGAGGUGAGGUAUUAGUCCCUUUGGAAGCAUGAUUUGGUUGCCUUCGACGCCUCCUUUUUAAGAGCAGAAAGGUUUAUGCUGGCUUGGGCCCUACUUCAAGGCACCUCCAUAGAUCUUUAGUUCAUUUACUGUUUUGUUUCUCCUCUAUUUACUCUUGACAAACUCAAAUAAUUUACUAUUCCCCUGAACAUAUUAACUCAAUAUGAAGUUUUUGUCGAGAAAUUUAACCAUUCAAGUGCAUGUUUUUCCACUUAUCAUUUUUUAUUUGUUUAUUGAUUGAAGUUGUGUCUUUUGAUAAAAACUAAUAUGAUUGGGAUGAUUUUUAUCUUUGGUAAUGCUUUUUCUCUUUUUGUUGGGGUACUUCAUGUUGGUGGUUUGAUUAGAUGGAGGAUAAGUAUGUUGCGAGGAGAUAGUGAAAAAAGUAGAGCUAUUUUGCUGUCUUUCCUUGCUUUCCUCUAGGUUCUUUUGGUUAUCUUGUGUAAGACCCUACUUUGAUGUAUGAAAUUAUUUGUUUUUGAAUAAAUAAUAUAGUGUGACUUGCUUAUGAUUUGUGAAUUUUCUUGAUGCUUUGUAGUGUGAAGUAUUAUUAACAUGGAAGUGAUAAUACUUGAGGGCUAGGAUAUAAUUAUUUAUAAAGUCAAGGACUCAAGGAUGAGUGAAUUUGAGUUGCUUGGAGGCCAAGAAAGAAGGUUAUGGCCGAGUAUGUGAAGGGAGAUGGAGUGGAGAGUGAUUGUUUGACUAAUUAGCAUGAGUUUAGGGAAAAUGAUAAUGGUUUAUGGCUCAUGAUCAAGACUGAUCAGUUUUUGGACAAGGGAUUAAAGGGAAAUGAAGUGUCAUAAAUUCCUUGUCUCAAUUCAAAAAUUGUAAAUUCUAAAUACCCUUGCUUGUGCAUGUGUUGGCCAUGGAUUUGAGGGGCAAAAGGGGGAUGUUGCUUCAGUUUUGUGAACCCUAAAGAGGCUAAGAAAGAAACCUGAAUCCACAACCUCAUUCCACACUCACUCAAUCAGAAAAAAAGAAAGAAACAAGAGAGAAAGGGAGAGAGAGGGCGGCGGCUAGAGAGGAAGAAAAGAGAAGAGAAAAUAGUGAAAGCAAGAGAGGGCAAGAGAGAAAGGAAGAGACCAGGACAAGGCUGAGGUUGCAGCAGGGAUAAAGCUUUCCAUUCAUCUUUUCCAGAACCAUUUCUUCAUCCUUCCAAACCCAACAACCAAGAUGGUGAAGGUCAAGAGCGCAGUGACCUCGUGGACGAUCGACUUGCAUGAUCAGCACAAGGACAAUGCCUGGCAGACCGACUCUGCCCAGGUGCGUCGCCUCUAUGUCGGCAGUGCUACAAUCACAGGACGAGACCGGCACGGGAACGUCGUUGAGACAUAGCGAAUGGAAUGGGGCAAGGUCAAGAUGCCUUUUGCACCAUGCCGCUUCCUGCACCCAGGAGAUGAGGGUUCUUGCUUGAACUCUCCACAGCGGGCUGCUGCAGAGGAGGGUCCUUCACGCGCGCUCGAGGCACCAGACUGGUGGGCACGUAUUGGCGACCUUCCAGUCCCGCCUCUAGAGUCCCUUCCAGAUGCUGCUGUCACCCUGCCCAUUGCUGUAGCUGUUGAACCAGUGAAGAAGCGUCAGAGACAGUGUGGUUGGCUCGAUGAGUGACUGAUGUUGCCGUGUUGGGGGUCGAGUGUUUCGUAGUGCUGAACUAUCAUUUAUCAGUUUUAUUUUUCAGAGUUUUGAUGUACUUUUGAUGUAGGGCUCCAGCCCAUGGUUUCAAAUUAUGCACUUUGAAUUAUGGUUUCUUUAAUUAAGAGUUAUUUUAUUUAAAAA